This 65-nucleotide transfer RNA is filed under the name Eurycotis floridana (Florida woods cockroach). RNAcentral describes it as "tRNA-His". The record is from RNAcentral. RNAcentral also lists the same sequence under 1 other name. Lineage: Eukaryota; Metazoa; Arthropoda; Insecta; Blattodea; Blattidae.
ACUUGAGUAGUUUAAUAUAAAAUAUUGAUUUGUGGCAUCAGUGAUAUAAAUACUUAUCUUAGGUU